UACGUAGGGGGCCAGCGUUGCUCGGAAUUACUGGGCGUAAAGGGUUCGUAGGUGGUGCGGCAAGUUGGAAGUGAAAUCUCUGGGCUUAACCCAGAGGCUGCUUUCAAAACUGCCGUGCUCGAGUGCGAGAGAGGUCAGUGGAAUUGCAGGUGUAGCGGUGAAAUGCGUAGAUAUCUGGAGGAACACCUGUGGCGAAGGCGGCCACCUGGUUGGAUACUGACGCUGAGACGCGAAAGCAUGGGGAGCAAACAGG
RNAcentral lists this ribosomal RNA (253 nucleotides) under uncultured bacterium. RNAcentral describes it as "partial 16S ribosomal RNA". It matches the Rfam family "Bacterial small subunit ribosomal RNA", at positions 524 to 776 of the family's 1533-position model. The record is from RNAcentral.